RNAcentral lists this unclassified non-coding RNA (17 nucleotides) under Mus musculus (house mouse). Its description in RNAcentral is "oocyte_clustered_small_RNA12750". Lineage: Eukaryota; Metazoa; Chordata; Mammalia; Rodentia; Muridae. The record is from RNAcentral.
UUUAUAUGUCACAGGGG